CAGCUCUCCGAGUGGUAGGGAUGUUUAUUGGGCUUAAAGCGUCCGUAGCCCGCUUAGCAAGUCUCCUGUUAAAUUCAGCGACCUAAUCGUUGAGCCGCGGGAGAUACUACUAGGCUAGGAGGCGGGAGAGGUCGACGGUACUUCUGGGGUAGGGGUGAAAUCCUAUAAUCCCGGGAGGACCACCAGUGGCGAAGGCUGUUGACUAGAACGCGCUCGACGGUGAGGGACGAAAGCUGGGGGAGCGAACCGGAUUAGAGACCCGAGUAGUCC
RNAcentral lists this ribosomal RNA (270 nucleotides) under uncultured archaeon. RNAcentral's name for it is "partial 16S ribosomal RNA". It matches the Rfam family "Archaeal small subunit ribosomal RNA", at positions 477 to 747 of the family's 1478-position model. The record is from RNAcentral.